RNAcentral lists this ribosomal RNA (448 nucleotides) under uncultured bacterium. Its description in RNAcentral is "partial 16S ribosomal RNA". It matches the Rfam family "Bacterial small subunit ribosomal RNA", at positions 328 to 792 of the family's 1533-position model. The record is from RNAcentral.
CGACCAGACUCCUACGGGAGGCAGCAGUGGGGGAUAUUGCACAAUGGGGGGAACCCUGAUGCAGCGACGCCGCGUGGGUGAAGGAGCGUCUCGGCGCGUAAAGCCCUAUCGGCAGGGAAGAAGGAGGACGGUACCUGACUAAGAAGCCCCGGCUAACUACGUGCCAGCAGCCGCGGUAAUACGUAGGUGGCAAGCGUUAUCCGGAUUUACUGGGUGUAAAGGGCGUGUAGGCGGGAAAGCAAGUCAGAUGUGAAAACCAUGGGCUCAACCUGUGGCCUGCAUUUGAAACUGUUUUUCUUGAGUACUGGAGAGGCAGGCGGAAUUCCUAGUGUAGCGGUGAAAUGCGUAGAUAUUAGGAGGAACACCAGUGGCGAAGGCGGUCUGCUGGACAGCAACUGACGCUGAGGCGCGAAAGCGUGGGGAGCAAACAGGAUUAGAUACCCGGGUA